GAGAGAGACAUGCGCGCAUAUCAAUAAGCGGAGGAAAAGAAACUAACUAGGAUUCCCUCAGUAACGGCGAGUGAAGCGGGAAGAGCUCAAAUUUGAAAUCUUCAAGGUUCUACCUUGACGAAUUGUAGUUUAAAGAAGUGUUUUCUGUUGGAGUUUUGGUAAAAGUUCUUUGGAAUAGGACAUCAUAGAGAGUGAGAAUCCCGUAUUUGACCAUUAUUUCCAGCUUUGUGAUACACUUUCAAAGAGUCGGAUUGUUUGGGAAUGCAGUCCAAAAUGGGUGGUAAAUUUCAUCUAAAGCUAAAUAUUGGCGAGAGACCGAUAGCGAACAAGUACCGUGAGGGAAAGAUGAAAAGAACUUUGAAAAGAGAGUUAAACAGUACGUGAAAUUGUCAAAAGGGAAGCGUUUGACACCAGUGUUGUUUUCUCGAAAAUCAAUUAAAAAAGGCAGGAUUUUGUGUUGUAUUGACUUUAUCAGCUUUCUGCACUCUUUUCUUGUCUUUUUUAAUGCACUUUUCGUUUAACAAGUCAACAUCAAUUUCUUUUGUUGUAAAAGGGUCAUUGGAAGGUGGCUUUCCUUUCGGAGAAAGUGUUUAUAGCCUUUGGCCUCUGCAAUCGGAGAGAUUGAGGUCUGCAGCGUAGAUCCUUCGGGGUUAGAUACAUUUGUGCUAAGUUAUAGCCUUUCAUAGACAACUUGUUGACUAUGAUUAGUCAUUGUAGCUUACUCGCUUAUGUUAUUUUACCUACGCUUAGGAUGUUGAUGUGAUACUGCGAGCA
Molecule: ribosomal RNA, 774 nt
Filed under: uncultured Neocallimastigales
Lineage: Eukaryota; Fungi; Neocallimastigomycota; Neocallimastigomycetes; Neocallimastigales
Description: partial large subunit ribosomal RNA
Rfam family: Eukaryotic large subunit ribosomal RNA
Source: RNAcentral